GCAACCCGACGCAAUCUAGGGAAAGAGGGUUUUAACUGACUUCGGAUCAGAAGGUUGCAGGUUCAAGUCCUGCCCGGUGCACCA
This 84-nucleotide transfer RNA is filed under the name Pedosphaera sp. RNAcentral's name for it is "tRNA-Arg". The record is from RNAcentral. Lineage: Bacteria; Pseudomonadati; Verrucomicrobiota; Pedosphaerae; Pedosphaerales; Pedosphaeraceae.